GUGGGGAAUAUUGCACAAUGGGCGCAAGCCUGAUGCAGCCAUGCCGCGUGUGUGAAGAAGGCCUUCGGGUUGUAAAGCACUUUCAGCGGGGAGGAAGGCGAUAAGGUUAAUAACCUUGUCGAUUGACGUUACCCGCAGAAGAAGCACCGGCUAACUCCGUGCCAGCAGCCGCGGUAAUACGGAGGGUGCAAGCGUUAAUCGGAAUUACUGGGCGUAAAGCGCACGCAGGCGGUCUGUCAAGUCGGAUGUGAAAUCCCCGGGCUCAACCUGGGAACUGCAUUCGAAACUGGCAGGCUAGAGUCUUGUAGAGGGGGGUAGAAGUCCAGGUGUAGCGGUGAAAUGCGUAGAGAUCUGGAGGAAUACCGGUGGCGAAGGCGGCCCCCUGGACAAAGACUGACGCUCAGGUGCGAAAGCGUGGGGAGCAAACAGGAUUAGAUACCCUAGUAGUCC
Molecule: ribosomal RNA, 450 nt
Filed under: uncultured bacterium
Lineage: Bacteria
Description: partial 16S ribosomal RNA
Rfam family: Bacterial small subunit ribosomal RNA
Source: RNAcentral